GCCGAAGCUGGCGGCGUGCCUAAUACAUGCAAGUCGAGCGAGCUUGCCUAUAGAAGUUCUUCGGAAUGGAAAUAGAUACAAGCUAGCGGCGGAUGGGUGAGUAACGCGUGGGUAACCUGCCCUUAAGUCUGGGAUACCAUUUGGAAACAGAUGCUAAUACCGGAUAAAAGCUACUUUCGCAUGAAAGAAGUUUAAAAGGCGGCGUAAGCUGUCGCUAAAGGAUGGACCUGCGAUGCAUUAGCUAGUUGGUAAGGUAACGGCUUACCAAGGCGAUGAUGCAUAGCCGAGUUGAGAGACUGAUCGGCCACAUUGGGACUGAGACACGGCCCAAACUCCUACGGGAGGCAGCAGUAGGGAAUCUUCCACAAUGGACGAAAGUCUGAUGGAGCAACGCCGCGUGAGUGAAGAAGGUUUUCGGAUCGUAAAGCUCUGUUGUUGGUGAAGAAGGAUAGAGGUAGUAACUGGCCUUUAUUUGACGGUAAUCAACCAGAAAGUCACGGCUAACUACGUGCCAGCAGCCGCGGUAAUACGUAGGUGGCAAGCGUUGUCCGGAUUUAUUGGGCGUAAAGCGAACGCAGGCGGAUUGAUAAGUCUGAUGUGAAAGCCUUCGGCUCAACCGAAGAACUGCAUCAGAAACUGUCAAUCUUGAGUGCAGAAGAGAGAGUGGAACUCCA
Molecule: ribosomal RNA, 674 nt
Filed under: Lactobacillus jensenii
Lineage: Bacteria; Bacillati; Bacillota; Bacilli; Lactobacillales; Lactobacillaceae
Description: bacterial SSU rRNA
Rfam family: Bacterial small subunit ribosomal RNA
Source: RNAcentral